Non-coding RNA from Actinobacteria bacterium OK006, 95 nucleotides. The record is from Rfam. NCBI's taxonomy places the organism in Bacteria, Bacillati, Actinomycetota, Actinomycetes.
GAACCGGACACGGGGUGCCCCGCACGAGGGCUGAGAUCACACCCGUCGAACCUGAACCAGUUAGGACUGGCGGAGGGAUGUCUCAUGUCGUUGCC